GAAAUGCGAUAAGUAGUGUGAAUUGCAGAAUUCAGUGAAUCAUCGAAUCUUUGAACGCACAUUUCGCCCCUUGGUAUUCCAUGGGGCAUGCCUGUUCGAGCGUCAUUUGUACCCUCAAGCUCUGCUUGGUGUUGGGUGUUUGUCCCGUCUCCGCGCGUGGACUCGCCCCAAAGUGAUUGGCAGCCGGCGUACUGGUCCCGGAGCGCAGCACAUGUCGCGCAAACGAGUGCCUUGGUACGGCGGCGUCCAUAAGCCCCUCUCUCACGCUCUUGACCUCGGAUCAGGUAGGGAUACCCGCUGAACUUAAGC
RNAcentral lists this unclassified non-coding RNA (309 nucleotides) under plant metagenome. Its description in RNAcentral is "partial contains 5.8S ribosomal RNA, internal transcribed spacer 2, and large subunit ribosomal RNA". The stretch from base 1 to 105 matches the Rfam family "5.8S ribosomal RNA", at positions 50 to 154 of the family's 154-position model. The record is from RNAcentral.